AAUAAGUGUAAGAAUUUUAUAAAAGAGAUUAAAUGAUAAAUCAUUAAAUUUAAAAGAUUUGGCAGUAUUUAAUAUUUAGAGGAACCUGUGUAGUAAUUGAUAAUCCACGAUAAGAUUUACUUAAUAAAAAUUAUUUAUGUAUUGCUGUUUUAAAUGUUUAAUUAAGUUAGAUAAGUAUAAAUUAUAAAAUUUAAUAAAGUAAAAUAAUUCAAGUCAAAAUAUAGUUUUAUUAAGAUUAAUAUGGGUUACAAUUAAUUAGAUUAAUGGAUUAUAAAAUUUAAUUUUUAUAUAAAAAUGGAUUUAAAAGUAAAUUUAAUAAAUUAAUUAAAUUGAAUAUAUAAUUUAAAUAUGU
RNAcentral lists this ribosomal RNA (352 nucleotides) under Vespa mocsaryana. RNAcentral describes it as "partial small subunit ribosomal RNA". Lineage: Eukaryota; Metazoa; Arthropoda; Insecta; Hymenoptera; Vespidae. The record is from RNAcentral.